This 21-nucleotide microRNA is filed under the name Sarcophilus harrisii (Tasmanian devil). RNAcentral's name for it is "Sha-Mir-7377_3p (mature (guide))". RNAcentral also lists the same sequence under 2 other names. The record is from RNAcentral. Lineage: Eukaryota; Metazoa; Chordata; Mammalia; Dasyuromorphia; Dasyuridae.
UCAUCCUGGCUGACUUCUGCU